UUUGGCAUCUCAAAACCCAAUAACCCCAAGCUAGUUUUCCUUUGUGAAAGUAGGCAAGCAUCAGCGAAAGUGGAAAAGUUGCGUUGGAGACUUGGUCUGAAGGGAUUUCACGGAGUGAAUAGCGAUGGUAGAAGUGGUGGUUUGGCACUCUUUUGGGAUGAGUCUUUGUCUGUUACGGUUCUUGAAUCUUGCAGUCGUUUUAUUGAUGUUAAUGUGGUUGAUGGUGGCUCAGGCACAUCUUGGCGGGCCACUUUUGUCUAUGGAGAACCUCGAGUCGAAAAUCAAUAUCGCAUGUGGGAGCACUUGUGUAGGCUCAGGGCUAGUUCACGAUUGUUGUGGAUCGUGUGCGGUGAUUUUAAUGAAGCGUUAUGGCAGCAUGAGCAUCUAUCGAGGACCAUGCGCUCAGAGUCUCAGAUGCUGGCCUUUAGGGACUGCCUGGAGUUCUGCGAGCUGGAGGACCUGGGCUUCUCAGGCAUCCCAUACACAUACAACAAUGGACAAGACUCAGAUCGCAACGUAUAG
This 522-nucleotide ribosomal RNA is filed under the name Triticum aestivum (bread wheat). RNAcentral describes it as "partial small subunit ribosomal RNA". Lineage: Eukaryota; Viridiplantae; Streptophyta; Magnoliopsida; Poales; Poaceae. The record is from RNAcentral.